AUUGAACGCUGGCGGCAGGCCUAACACAUGCAAGUCGAACGAGUGGCGGACGGGUGUGUAAUGUAUGGGAAACUGCCUGAUGGAGGGGGAUAACAACUGGAAACGGUAGCUAAUACCGCAUACCAUCAGAUGUGCCCAGGGUGGCUUCGCGAGUUGGUGGGGUAACGGCUCCCCAAGGCGACGAUGCCUAGCGGGUCUGAGAGGAUGACCAGCCACACUGGAACGUAGACACGGUCCAGACUCCGACGGUAGGCAGCAGUGGGGAAUAGUGCACAAUGGGCGAAAGCCUGAUGCAGCCAUGCCGCGUGUAUGAAGAAGGCCUUCGGGUUGUAAAGUACUUUCAGCGGGGAGGCGUUACCCGGAGAAGAAGCACCGGCUAACUCCGUGCCAGCAGCCGCGGUAAUAC
This 406-nucleotide ribosomal RNA is filed under the name uncultured bacterium. Its description in RNAcentral is "partial 16S ribosomal RNA". It matches the Rfam family "Bacterial small subunit ribosomal RNA", at positions 29 to 526 of the family's 1533-position model. The record is from RNAcentral.